Long non-coding RNA from Lynx canadensis (Canada lynx), 507 nucleotides. RefSeq lists it as uncharacterized. The transcript is spliced from 2 exons. The record is from RefSeq and is a predicted model, not a curated record. Lineage: Eukaryota; Metazoa; Chordata; Mammalia; Carnivora; Felidae.
UAGAAGCAACUAAAAAACAAAUAUGUGUUUGAGCCCCAGAGAGAUUAUGUGGCUUCAUAAAGAUAGUAUGGCUGGUCAGCUGUCUCCACUCCUGAGGUCAUCACUCAUCAAGAGGGGAUAAUCCCAAGGACAGCAGGAUCUGCUUCGUCACUUGGAUUUAGGAGUGAGAAGAACCAUCAGGCAACUAAACAGUAACAAUGACCCGCCAUUAAACCACUGAGAGAAGAGCAUGAUGAGGAGAUUGUACAAGAAGAAUCCCAGGGCUCUUGCUGACAACGCCUAUGGAGUCACUGACCACUGUGAGCUCUGCCCAUUGAACUGCAGUGAAAAAUCUCCCCCUCCCCAGAGAUGCUUGGAUGUGGGCACAAUAUCAGUUCAGACAAUGGUCUUUGCUUGGAUUUAGAGUGGAAAGAAUUUGUGCUGUGGGGUAAAAAGACCUGGGUCUGAACUGUCACUCUGCCACUUCUGUGUAGUAUGCUUUGGCAACAUUAAAAAAAAUCUCUCUGA